UCUGAGUUCGUAACUUACGUCACAAAGGAUCAUUAAGAAAUAUGUAAAUCUAUGGGGGGAGGCUCGAGUGAAAUCUACUGUCAUUCGAAAGCUGCAUGGAUAAAUGAACUAUUAAAAAGAAGACCUGACACAGUGUGGCUCCUGCGAGCUCUCUAGCUCAUCCCAGUUCACGCUCUGCUCAUUCACCUCUGGCCACACUGGCAUUUAAGGUCCUCAGACCCAGCAAGCAGCAGCAGCCCCGGAAGGAGUCCAUCACCUGUUUGCCCUGAGUGGAGUCCUUCCUUGCCAAUAACACCUGUGAGGUGGCGAUGAGACUAAGAUCAGCAGCAAUGCCGAUGUCCAGCCGUGGAACAGAAGAAGAGCAAAGAGCAGGAGCCAGGAUCCCUGACCUGGACUGCGGCAGGGACCGUCUGAGGACUUGGGCUUGGCUGGACCCCAGCAUCCUUGGGUUCCCCACUGUAUUACUGGCCUGCGUGGUCUGUGGAUACAGUGCACUGCAGGCACUGGUUCCCGCGCUUUCCAACGUCAAACACUACCGAAGCUCCCAAUGGAAAUCUUGGGGGCAAACGUGGGGCCGUCAUUUUAUUUAAUCUCACCAAGUAGGCCUCAAAUAAAAAAUGUUGGUCUACUAUCCACAGUCAGCAUCACUUCAUAAAGAAAGGACAUUUUAAUGCCAAAAAAGCAAGAAGGAAAUUAUCACAGAAUACAG
RNAcentral lists this long non-coding RNA (709 nucleotides) under Equus caballus (horse). RNAcentral describes it as "lncRNA (ENSECAG00000045855.1)". Lineage: Eukaryota; Metazoa; Chordata; Mammalia; Perissodactyla; Equidae. The record is from RNAcentral.